CGCGUAGGCGGCCUGAUAAGUCGGGGGUGAAAUUCUGCGGCUUAACCGCAGAACGGCCUUCGAGACUGUCGGGCUGGAGCACGGUAGAGGCUGGUGGAAUUCCCGGUGUAGCGGUGGAAUGCGUAGAGAUCGGGAAGAACAUCGGUGGCGAAGGCGGCCAGCUGGGCCGUUGCUGACGCUGAGGCGCGACAGCGUGGGAGCAAACA
RNAcentral lists this ribosomal RNA (206 nucleotides) under uncultured bacterium. Its description in RNAcentral is "partial 16S ribosomal RNA". It matches the Rfam family "Bacterial small subunit ribosomal RNA", at positions 568 to 774 of the family's 1533-position model. The record is from RNAcentral.